RNAcentral lists this ribosomal RNA (207 nucleotides) under uncultured bacterium. RNAcentral's name for it is "partial 16S ribosomal RNA". It matches the Rfam family "Bacterial small subunit ribosomal RNA", at positions 568 to 774 of the family's 1533-position model. The record is from RNAcentral.
CACGUAGGCGGAUCAGAAAGUCAGAGGUGAAAUCCCAGGGCUCAACCUUGGAACUGCCUUUGAAACUCCUGAUCUUGAGGUCGAGAGAGGUGAGUGGAAUUCCGAGUGUAGAGGUGAAAUUCGUAGAUAUAUGGAGGAACACCGGUGGCGAAGGCGGCUUACUGGGCUUUUACUGACGCUGAGGCUCGAAAGCGUGGGGAGCAAACA